GACGAACGCUGGCGGCGUGCCUAAUACAUGCAAGUAGAACGCUGAAGGAGGAGCUUGCUUCUCUGGAUGAGUUGCGAACGGGUGAGUAACGCGUAGGUAACCUGCCUGGUAGCGGGGGAUAACUAUUGGAAACGAUAGCUAAUACCGCAUAAUAGCAGUUGUUGCAUGACAACUGUUUGAAAGGUGCAAUUGCACCACUACCAGAUGGACCUGCGUUGUAUUAGCUAGUUGGUGGGGUAACGGCUCACCAAGGCGACGAUACAUAGCCGACCUGAGAGGGUGAUCGGCCACGCUGGGACUGAGACACGGCCCAGACUCCUACGGGAGGCAGCAGUAGGGAAUCUUCGGCAAUGGACGGAAGUCUGACCGAGCAACGCCGCGUGAGUGAAGAAGGUUUUCGGAUCGUAAAGCUCUGUUGUAAGAGAAGAACGAGUGUGAGAGUGGAAAGUUCACACUGUGACGGUAUCUUACCAGAAAGGGACGGCUAACUACGUG
This 495-nucleotide ribosomal RNA is filed under the name uncultured bacterium. RNAcentral's name for it is "partial 16S ribosomal RNA". It matches the Rfam family "Bacterial small subunit ribosomal RNA", at positions 28 to 507 of the family's 1533-position model. The record is from RNAcentral.